This 965-nucleotide ribosomal RNA is filed under the name Apolemiidae environmental sample. Its description in RNAcentral is "partial large subunit ribosomal RNA". It matches the Rfam family "Eukaryotic large subunit ribosomal RNA", at positions 75 to 858 of the family's 3401-position model. Lineage: Eukaryota; Metazoa; Cnidaria; Hydrozoa; Siphonophorae; Apolemiidae. The record is from RNAcentral.
UUCCCCUAGUAACGGCGAGUGAAGCGGGACCAGCUCAAACUUAAAAUCUCCGUUGCUUGCAACGGCGAAUUGUAGUCUUGAGGAACGUUUUCAAGGCGAAUGCGCAGUACUUAAGUUGCUUGGAACGGCACAUCGUAGAGGGUGACAAUCCCGUACGCGGUACUGUGCAUCGUUCACGAUGCGUUUCCUAUGAGUCGGGUUGCUUGGGAAUGCAGCCCAAAUUUGGAGGUAAACUCCUUCUAAAGCUAAAUAUUGGCACGAGACCGAUAGCGAACAAGUACCGUGAGGGAAAGAUGAAAAGCACUUUGAAAAGAAAGUUAAUAGUACGUGAAACCGUUAGAAGGGAAGCGCAUGGAAUUAGCAAUACGCUGUCGAGAUUCAGACGAUCGGUGUUGAGUACGGGCUUCGUACGGAUCUGAAUGGACCGUUGGAGUUCGUCACGCUGCACUGGUUGUCGCACUUCCCGUCAGUGUGCGUCAACAGGUGUUGGGACCGAGUGAUACGCCCCGCAAGAAGGUGGCUGGCUUCGGCUAGUGUUAUAGCUUGUGGUGUGCUAGCUCGGACCCGACAGAGGCGUCGCAGCACAUGCCCUCACGGGCUGGCUUCUGUUUCCUCCGUCUGGCGUGACCAUAAUGGACUGCGUGCAGUGCGUUUGAACUUCGUUGGGCUGUCGGAGGCAAGAAUGCACACUAUGUGCUUAGGUUGUUGGCGGUCAUAUGAUUUCAUGCGACCCGUCUUGAAACACGGACCAAGGAGUCUAACAUGUGUGCGAGUCUUAGGGUGAUUGAAACCCGCAGGCACAAUGAAAGUAAAGGCUUUUCGGAGCUGAGGUGAGAUCUCUUCGAUUUCGGUUGGAGAGCGCAUCAUCGACCGACCUAUUCUACUCCUAGAAAGGUUUGAGUAAGAGCACAUCUGUUGGGACCCGAAAGAUGGUGAACUAUGCUUGAGUAGGGCGAAGCCAGAGG